GGGGAUGUGGCUCAGUGCUAGAGCAUUUGCCUAACAUGCAUGAAGCACUGGAUUCUAUCCCCAGCACCACA
Molecule: transfer RNA, 71 nt
Filed under: Marmota monax (woodchuck)
Lineage: Eukaryota; Metazoa; Chordata; Mammalia; Rodentia; Sciuridae
Description: tRNA.Val
Rfam family: tRNA (bases 1-63)
About the family: Transfer RNA (tRNA) molecules are approximately 80 nucleotides in length. Their secondary structure includes four short double-helical elements and three loops (D, anti-codon, and T loops).
Source: RNAcentral